Molecule: ribosomal RNA, 252 nt
Filed under: uncultured prokaryote
Description: partial 16S rRNA
Rfam family: Archaeal small subunit ribosomal RNA
Source: RNAcentral
ACCGGCGGCUCGAGUGGUGGCCGCUUUUACUGGGCUUAAAGGGUCCGUAGCUGGAUCUGUGUGUCCCUUGAGAAAUCCAUCGGCUUAACUGAUGGGCGUUCAGGGGAAACUGCAGUUCUAGGGACCGGGAGAGGUGAGAGGUACUGCCGGGGUAGGAGUGAAAUCCUGUAAUCCCGGUGGGACGACCUAUGGCGAAGGCAUCUCACCAGAACGGCUCCGACAGUGAGGGACGAAAGCUGGGGGAGCAAACCG